CCACCCCUAAAUUCUCUCAUCCUCUCAAACUCUCUCUAAACCACUCGAAACCCUUGCCGCCUAUAUCGUCAUCUCCUAUCAGUUCUUACACGUCCAUGGCUUCCCAGGCCAUAGACGGCCUAUAUCCUCUUCCCUUCACCCCAGACCAUGAUUAUUUGAAGCUUUCAAGGUCCGUUCUUUGACAGACCUAUCCAGGUCCUCCACUGACCUGAGCCCCUAUGGUUUCUCCAGCUCUGUCCCAGUGUGUUCAAGCUCUAAAAAGCUCUGCCAUGGCCCAGACUUGUUUAAAGACCAGAUCGUUCUAGGUCUUCUCAUUUCUAGGGUUUCUGAGAAACCCUAAAAAGCUUGUUCGAGAUUUUUCUUCACUAGUCUUCUUAGAUCUAUAACAGAUCUGUGCUUUAUUCAAUGUUUUAAUGAUUGUCCCUAAUUUUCCCUUUCAAAAUUAGUCUGUUCAAAAUUAGGGUUUUCAAAAAAUCCUAAAACAAUUCUUCUUCUUCUUUCUUUCUUUAUGUGAAUCUGUGUGUGUUCU
This 529-nucleotide long non-coding RNA is filed under the name Nicotiana benthamiana. RNAcentral's name for it is "long non-coding RNA (NBEN_LNC009927)". The record is from RNAcentral. Lineage: Eukaryota; Viridiplantae; Streptophyta; Magnoliopsida; Solanales; Solanaceae.